This 74-nucleotide transfer RNA is filed under the name Patescibacteria group bacterium. RNAcentral describes it as "tRNA-Met". It matches the Rfam family "tRNA". From Rfam's summary of the family: Transfer RNA (tRNA) molecules are approximately 80 nucleotides in length. Their secondary structure includes four short double-helical elements and three loops (D, anti-codon, and T loops). Further hydrogen bonds mediate the characteristic L-shaped molecular structure. tRNAs have two regions of fundamental functional importance: the anti-codon, which is responsible for specific mRNA codon recognition, and the 3' end, to which the tRNAs corresponding amino acid is attached (by aminoacyl-tRNA synthetases). tRNAs cope with the degeneracy of the genetic code in two manners: having more than one tRNA (with a specific anti-codon) for a particular amino acid; and 'wobble' base-pairing, i.e. permitting non-standard base-pairing at the 3rd anti-codon position. The record is from RNAcentral.
GGCGGCAUAGCUCAGUUGGUUAGAGCACGGCAUUCAUAAGGCCGGGGUCGGGGGUUCAAAUCCCUCUGCCGCUA